GAUGAAGAACGUAGCGAAAUGCGAUACGUAAUGUGAAUUGCAAAUUCAGUGAAUCAUCGAGUCUUUGAACGCACAUUGCGCCCCCUGGUAUUCCGGGGGGCAUGCCUGUCCGAGCGUCAUUGCUGCCCUCAAGCACGGCUUGUGUGUUGGGCCCCGUCCUCCGAUCCCGGGGGACGGGCCCGAAAGGCAGCGGCGGCACCGCGUCCGGUCCUCGAGCGUAUGGGGCUUUGUCACCCGCUCUGUAGGCCCGGCCGGCGCUUGCCGAUCAACCCAAAUUUUUAUCCAGGUUGACCUCGGAUCAGGUAGGGAUACCCGCUGAACUUAAGCAUAUCAAUAAGCGGGGGA
This 345-nucleotide unclassified non-coding RNA is filed under the name soil metagenome. RNAcentral's name for it is "partial contains 5.8S ribosomal RNA, internal transcribed spacer 2, and large subunit ribosomal RNA". The stretch from base 1 to 119 matches the Rfam family "5.8S ribosomal RNA", at positions 35 to 154 of the family's 154-position model. The record is from RNAcentral.